GUACCUACGGGGGGCAGCAGUGGGGAAUCUUCCGCAAUGGGCGAAAGCCUGACGGAGCAACGCCGCGUGAUCGAAUGAAGGCCUUCGGGUUGUAAAGAUCUGUUGACAGGGACGAAUAAGCAAUGCGAAUAGUUUUGUGUAUGACGGUACCUGUUUAGAAAGCUCCGGCUAACUACGUGCCAGCAGCCGCGGUAAUACGUAGGGAGCAAGCGUUGUCCGGAAUUACUGGGCGUAAAGCGCUCGUAGGCGGUAUGUCAAGUCAAGGGUGAAAUCCCCGCGCUCAACGUGGGAACUGCCUUUGAAAC
Molecule: ribosomal RNA, 305 nt
Filed under: uncultured bacterium
Lineage: Bacteria
Description: bacterial SSU rRNA
Rfam family: Bacterial small subunit ribosomal RNA
Source: RNAcentral